This 72-nucleotide transfer RNA is filed under the name Pygoscelis adeliae (Adelie penguin). It matches the Rfam family "tRNA". Rfam says of the family: Transfer RNA (tRNA) molecules are approximately 80 nucleotides in length. Their secondary structure includes four short double-helical elements and three loops (D, anti-codon, and T loops). Lineage: Eukaryota; Metazoa; Chordata; Aves; Sphenisciformes; Spheniscidae. The record is from Rfam by way of RNAcentral.
GUUUCUGUAGUGUAGUGGUUAUCACGUUCGCCUAACACGCGAAAGGUCCCCGGUUCGACACCGGCAGAAACA